This 253-nucleotide ribosomal RNA is filed under the name uncultured bacterium. Its description in RNAcentral is "partial 16S ribosomal RNA". It matches the Rfam family "Bacterial small subunit ribosomal RNA", at positions 524 to 776 of the family's 1533-position model. The record is from RNAcentral.
UACAGAGGUCCCGAGCGUUAGGCGGAAUCACUGGGCUUAAAGCGUGUGUAGGUGGAUCGUUAAGUACCUUGUGAAAUCCCACGGCUUAACCGUGGAACUGCUUGGUAUACUGGCGGUCUUGAGCCAGCUAGGGGCUACCGGAACAAAUGGUGGAGCGGUGAAAUGCGUAGAUAUCGAUCGGAACACCCGUGGCGAAGGCGGCUUGCUGGCUCGCAACUGACGCUGAGGCGCGAAAGCGUGGGGAGCAAACAGG